GAGUUUGAUCCUGGCUCAGGACGAACGCUGGCGGUGCGCCUUAUGCAUGCAAGUUGAGCGAAGCUUUUUGGUAGUUUACUACUAAAAAUGACUGAGCGGCGAACGGGUGAGUAACGCGUGAGCAAUCUACCUUAGUUACUGGGAUAGCCCGAGGAAACUCGGAUUAAUACCGGAUAUUCUUAUUUUUUCACAUGAAGUUUUAAGGAAAGGUCAGCCGAACUAAGAUGAGCUCGCGUUCUAUCAGCUAGUUGGUGGGGUAAAAGCCUACCAAGGCUACGACGGAUAGCUGGUCUGAGAGGACGAUCAGCCACACUGGGACUGAGACACGGCCCAGACUCCUACGGGAGGCUGCAGCAGGGAAUAUUGUGCAAUGAGCGAAAGCUUGACACAGCGACACCGCGUGUGGGAUGACGGUUCUAGGAUUGUAAACCACUUUCAGGAGGGAAGAAAAUGACGGUACCUCCACAAGAAGACCCGGCCAACUAUGUGCCAGCAGCCGCGGUAAUACAUAGGGGUCAAGCGUUGUCCGGAUUUAUUGGGCGUAAAGAGCUCGUAGGCGGUUCAACAAGUCGGUCGUAAAAGUUUAGGGCUCAACCCUAAAAUGUCGAUCGAUACUGUUGUGACUAGGAUACGGUAGAGGUGAAUGGAAUUCCGAGUGUGGCGGUGAAAUGCGUAGAUAUUCGGAGGAACACCAAUUGCGAAGGCAGUUCACUGGACCGUGAUCGACGCUGAGGAGCGAAAGCUAGGGGAGCAAACAGGAUUAGAUACCCUGGUAGUCCUAGCUGUAAACGAUGGAUACUAGAUGUAGGAACUGGAUUGACGGUUUCUGUAUCGUAGCUAACGCGUUAGGUAUCCCGCCUGGGGAGUACGGUCGCAAGACUAAAACUCAAAGGAAUUGACGGGACCCCGCACAAGCGGCGGAGCAUGCGGCUUAAUUCGAUGAUACCCGUAGAACCUUACCUGGACUUGACAUAUAGGGAAAAACUGGAGAAAUCCGGUGUGCGUAAGCGCCCUAUACAGGUGGUGCAUGGCUGUCGUCAGCUCGUGUCGUGUGAUGUUGGGUUAAGUCCCGCAACGAGCGCAACCCCUGUCCUAUGUUGCCCAGCAAGUAAUGUUGGGGACUCAUAGGAGACUGCCGGUGAUAAACCGGAGGAAGGUGGGGACGACGUCAAGUCAUCAUGCCCCUUAUGUCCAGGGCUGCACGCAUGCUACAAUGGCAAGUACAACGAGUCGCAAUACCGCGAGGUGGAGCAAAUCUCUUAAAGCUUGUCUCAGUUCGGAUAGGAGUCUGCAACUCGACUCCUUGAAGUUGGAGUCGCUAGUAAUCGCAAAUCAGCAAAGUUGCGGUGAAUACGUUCUCGGGGUUUGUACACACCGCCCGUC
This 1383-nucleotide ribosomal RNA is filed under the name uncultured marine bacterium. RNAcentral's name for it is "bacterial SSU rRNA". It matches the Rfam family "Bacterial small subunit ribosomal RNA". The record is from RNAcentral.